RNAcentral lists this small nuclear RNA (24 nucleotides) under Arabidopsis thaliana (thale cress). RNAcentral's name for it is "snRNA_18607". Lineage: Eukaryota; Viridiplantae; Streptophyta; Magnoliopsida; Brassicales; Brassicaceae. The record is from RNAcentral.
GACUUUGGAGGCGAGACCAGUGAA